This 1248-nucleotide ribosomal RNA is filed under the name Bacillus sp. (in: firmicutes). RNAcentral describes it as "bacterial SSU rRNA". It matches the Rfam family "Bacterial small subunit ribosomal RNA", at positions 33 to 1265 of the family's 1533-position model. Lineage: Bacteria; Bacillati; Bacillota; Bacilli; Caryophanales; Bacillaceae. The record is from RNAcentral.
UUGCAAGUGCGCGUGCUAUACAUGCAGUCGAGCGGACUUGCUGGAGCUUGCUCCAGCAGGUUAGCGGCGGACGGGUGAGUAACACGUGGGCAACCUGCCUGUAAGACUGGGAUAACUCCGGGAAACCGGAGCUAAUACCGGAUAGUAUCUUGAACCGCAUGGUUCAAGUUGGAAAGACGGUUUCGGCUGUCACUUACAGAUGGGCCCGCGGCGCAUUAGCUAGUUGGUGAGGUAAUGGCUCACCAAGGCAACGAUGCGUAGCCGACCUGAGAGGGUGAUCGGCCACACUGGGACUGAGACACGGCCCAGACUCCUACGGGAGGCAGCAGUAGGGAAUCUUCCGCAAUGGACGAAAGUCUGACGGAGCAACGCCGCGUGAGUGAUGAAGGUUUUCGGAUCGUAAAACUCUGUUGUUAGGGAAGAACAAGUGCGAGAGUAACUGCUCGCACCUUGACGGUACCUAACCAGAAAGCCACGGCUAACUACGUGCCAGCAGCCGCGGUAAUACGUAGGUGGCAAGCGUUGUCCGGAAUUAUUGGGCGUAAAGCGCGCGCAGGCGGUUUCUUAAGUCUGAUGUGAAAGCCCCCGGCUCAACCGGGGAGGGUCAUUGGAAACUGGGAAACUUGAGUGCAGAAGAGGAGAGUGGAAUUCCACGUGUAGCGGUGAAAUGCGUAGAGAUGUGGAGGAACACCAGUGGCGAAGGCGACUCUCUGGUCUGUAACUGACGCUGAGGCGCGAAAGCGUGGGGAGCGAACAGGAUUAGAUACCCUGGUAGUCCACGCCGUAAACGAUGAGUGCUAAGUGUUAGAGGGUUUCCGCCCUUUAGUGCUGCAGCUAACGCAUUAAGCACUCCGCCUGGGGAGUACGGUCGCAAGACUGAAACUCAAAGGAAUUGACGGGGGCCCGCACAAGCGGUGGAGCAUGUGGUUUAAUUCGAAGCAACGCGAAGAAACCUUACCAGGUCUUGACAUCCUUUGCCACUUCUAGAGAUAGAAGGGUUCCCCUUCGGGGGACAAAGUGACAGGUGGUGCAUGAUUGUCGUCAGCUCGUGUCGUGAGAUGUUGGGUUAAGUCCCGCACGAGCGCAACCCUUUGAUCUUAGUUGCCAGCAUUCAGUUGGGCACUUCUUAAGGUGACUGCGAUGACAAACCGAGUAGGUGGGGAUGACGGUCAAUCAUCAUGACCCUAUGACUUGGCUACCACCGGUGCCUAACAUGAAUGUUCCAAGGGGCCUGGCCGGGAGAACGCG